GAAUAAAUGCUUGGUGGUAAUUGAUUUGCCCUAAUGUUAAUGGGAUUGUUCCCACUCUCUUCCUAUGCAGAAGAAUGAUGGCCGAUUUACAGUCAUUCAGCUGGUGGGCAUGCUCCGAGGCAUUGGCUCGGGGAUGAAGUACUUAUCUGAUAUGAGCUAUGUGCAUCGAGACCUGGCUGCCAGGAACAUUCUGGUAAACAGCAACUUGGUCUGCAAGGUGUCUGAUUUCGGCAUGUCCAGGGUGCUUGAGGAUGACCCGGAAGCAGCCUAUACUACCAGGGUAAGCACCACUUGCCACUGCUGGCCUGGCAUUCUCUCUGAUGAAACUGAUCCUCUCUUGUCAUUUUGAGGUUGGAACACUUCCUACUUUUUUUUUUCUUCAAGUUUACUUAUCCUUCAGGCCCUCUCCAUUUUUAAAGCAUGACUUUAAAAAAUUAAAAAAAAAAAAAA
This 450-nucleotide long non-coding RNA is filed under the name Rattus norvegicus (Norway rat). RNAcentral describes it as "long non-coding RNA NONRATT030199". The record is from RNAcentral. Lineage: Eukaryota; Metazoa; Chordata; Mammalia; Rodentia; Muridae.